This 276-nucleotide long non-coding RNA is filed under the name Gossypium raimondii (Peruvian cotton). RNAcentral describes it as "long non-coding RNA (GRAI_LNC008275)". Lineage: Eukaryota; Viridiplantae; Streptophyta; Magnoliopsida; Malvales; Malvaceae. The record is from RNAcentral.
GAAGCCUUCGGUGAUGUAGAUUUACUAGGGUGCGUAGAAAGUUCCAGGAUCCUUUCCAAACUGUAAUUUUCUGUUUUGUUGUAAGCUUAGGGUUCCAGUUUUUUUUUUUUUGUAAAAGUCAAUAAUUUCUUUUUGUAAUUCAGUAGUAGUUGGAUCAGUUGUAAAAUUAAGCAGAUGUUUGAACCCAUUCCUCACUGAAUACUCACCUGAGACCUCCCUGCUCUAUCCCACCAUAUCAUCAUGUUCUUCUGAGGCUAAAGGAAUUCUCAAAAUUCA